AUGGCGAGUCCUCGUGGUCUGGCGGGGCUCCUCUGCUUCGCCCUCGCGGCCGCGGCGGCGAGCGCGGCGCAGUACCGGGUCGGCGAGCAGCGGGGGUGGAGCGUGCCGGCGGCCGGCGCCGAGCCGCUCAACACGUGGUCGUCGCGGAUGCGGUUCAUCAUCGGCGACCAGCUCCGCGGCGUACAACGCGUGCAACACCACGACCUACGUGAGCAAGUUCCAGGGCGGCAGCACCGUCUUCACGCUCGACCGCUCCGGCCCCUUCUUCUUCAUCAGCGGCAACGAGGCCAGCUGCAAGGCGGAGCAGAAGCUCAUCGUCGUCGUGCUCUCCGUCGACCACACCCCGCCGGGCCUCCUGCCGCCGCCCCCUCCUCCCUCCAUGCCACCGUCGUCCGCGCCGCCCAUGCCCAGCCCGAUGUCGCCGCCUUCCAUGACGCCGCCNNNNNNNNCGCCGAUGCCCAGCCCGGUGUCGCCGCCUUCCAUGACACCGCCGUCCGCCGCGCCGAUGCCCAGCCCGAUGGCUCCUCCUUCCAUGACACCACCAUCCGCCGCGCCGAUGCCGAGCCCGAUGUCUCCCCCUUCCAUGACACCGCCGUCCGGCGAACCGAUGCCCAGCCCGUCGUCUCCGACAGCUGCUCCCGGGGCAACCCCGGACUCGCCACCGCCGACGACGAGUCCAGCUCCGUCGCCGGGUACACCUGGAGGCGGAUCAUCGCCGGGCGCCCCUGGAUCCGACACGAGCAGCCCGCCGGCGCCGGCCGCCGACGGGGCGAACUCGACCACGCCGGGAAGCGCGGCUGCUCCGGUAACGGCAGGCCUGAUCGGCACGCUUGCAGCAGGCAUCGGCUACGCCAUGCUCGCUAUCUGAGUGCUCUUUCCUUUUGUAUAGUGUGUAAAUUGCGAGAUGCCCACUCGUACUCUGCAGAGGAUUUACCUUUGUACGUAUUUGUUUUCCGAUGGUGA
RNAcentral lists this ribosomal RNA (963 nucleotides) under Triticum aestivum (bread wheat). RNAcentral's name for it is "partial small subunit ribosomal RNA". Lineage: Eukaryota; Viridiplantae; Streptophyta; Magnoliopsida; Poales; Poaceae. The record is from RNAcentral.